GACGAACGCUGGCGGCGUGCUUAACACAUGCAAGUCGAGCGGUAAGGCCCUUUCGGGGGUACACGAGCGGCGAACGGGUGAGUAACAUGUGGGUGACCUGCCUUUAGCUCUGGGAUAAGCCUGGGAAACUGGGUCUAAUACCGGAUAUGACUCCGCGGUGCAUGCUGUGGGGUGGAAAGCCUUGUGCGGCUGGAGAUGGGCCCGCGGCCUAUCAGCUUGUUGGUGGGGUGANGGCCUACCAAGGCGACGACGGGUAGCCGGCCUGAGAGGGCGACCGGCCACACUGGGACUGAGACACGGCCCAGACUCCUACGGGAGGCAGCAGUGGGGAAUCUUGCGCAAUGGGCGAAAGCCUGACGCAGCGACGCCGCGUGAGGGAUGACGGCCU
RNAcentral lists this ribosomal RNA (388 nucleotides) under uncultured bacterium. RNAcentral describes it as "bacterial SSU rRNA". It matches the Rfam family "Bacterial small subunit ribosomal RNA", at positions 28 to 417 of the family's 1533-position model. The record is from RNAcentral.